RNAcentral lists this long non-coding RNA (1011 nucleotides) under Homo sapiens (human). RNAcentral's name for it is "HSALNT0206915". Lineage: Eukaryota; Metazoa; Chordata; Mammalia; Primates; Hominidae. The record is from RNAcentral.
CACUAUGUGCCCCCAGUAUAGCAGUCAGGUGCCUUUCUGCUCCAGGCGCAACCUCUGCCCUGAACCCCAAACCAGCUCGCUGCGAGGCCCCUUCGCUUUCCACCGUCUCAGGUCAGGGCAGCUCCAUCACUCCAACGCUGAGGUGAAAGGAUGGCUCAACAUGUCAGAGGCCUUUUAACCAGAGCGAUUCCAUCUUGAAUAGGGACUGGGUAAAAUGAGGGUGAGACCUACUGGGCUGCAUUCCCAGGGGGUUAGACAUUCUUGGCCACAGGAUGAGGUGGUGGGCACAAGAUACAGGUCACAAAGACCGCACUGAUAAGAUGACACAGUAAAGAAACUGGCCCAAAGCCUACCAAAACCAAGAUGGCCACAAAAGUGACCUCUGUGUCCUCAUUGCUCAUUAUUUGCUGAUUAUAACGUAUUAGCAUGCUAAAGGACACUCCUACCAGCGCCAUGAGAGUUUACAAAUGCUAUGGCAACAUCAGGAAAUUACUCUAUAUGGUCUAAAAAGGGGAGGAACCCUCAGUUCCAGCAAUUGCCAACCUCUUUCCCAGAAAACUCAUGAAUAAUCCCCUCCUUAUUUAGCCUAUAAUCAAGAGAUAACUAUAACUAUGUGUGGAGUUAGUUCCUGCCGGUGGGUUCAUGGUCUCACUGACUUCAAGAAUGAAGCUGCGGACCUUCACAGUGUUACAGCUCUUAAAGGUGGCAUAGACCCAAAGAGUGAGCAGCAGCAAGAUUUAUUAUGAAGAGGCCGGGCGUGGUGGCUCAUGCCUGUAAGCCCAGCACUUUGGGAGGCCGAGGCGGGUGGAUCACAAGGUCAGGAGAUCGAGACCAUCUUGGCUAACACGGUGAAACCCUGUCUCUACUAAAAAUACAAAAAAUUAGCCGGACAUGGUGGCGGGCGCCUGUAAUCCCAGCUACCCAGGAGGCUGAGGCAGGAGAAUGGCGUGAACCUGGGAGGCAGAGCUUCCAGUGAGCCGAGAUCGGGCCACUGCACUCCAGCCUGGGCCA